RNAcentral lists this ribosomal RNA (430 nucleotides) under uncultured Methanosaeta sp. Its description in RNAcentral is "bacterial SSU rRNA". It matches the Rfam family "Archaeal small subunit ribosomal RNA", at positions 908 to 1338 of the family's 1478-position model. Lineage: Archaea; Methanobacteriati; Methanobacteriota; Methanomicrobia; Methanotrichales; Methanotrichaceae. The record is from RNAcentral.
GGAUUCAACGCCGGAAAUCUCACCGGGGCGACAGCAAUAUGAAGGUCAGGCUGAAGACCUUACCCGAUUAGCUGAGAGGUGGUGCAUGGCCGUCGUCAGUUCGUACUGUGAAGCAUCCUGUUAAGUCAGGCAACGAGCGAGACCCACGUCCACAGUUGCCAGCAUACCCUCCGGGGUGAUGGGUACACUGUGGAGACCGCCGCUGCUAAAGCGGAGGAAGGAGUGGGCAACGGUAGGUCAGUAUGCCCCGAAUCUCCCGGGCUACACGCGGGCUACAAUGGUUGGUACAAUGGGCAUCUACCCCGAAAGGGGAAGGAAAUCUCUUAAAGCCAAUCGUAGUUCGGAUUGAGGGCUGCAACUCGCCCUCAUGAAGCUGGAAUCCGUAGUAAUCGCGUUUCAACAGAACGCGGUGAAUACGUCCCUGCUCCUU